This 394-nucleotide ribosomal RNA is filed under the name uncultured bacterium. RNAcentral's name for it is "partial 16S ribosomal RNA". It matches the Rfam family "Bacterial small subunit ribosomal RNA", at positions 523 to 918 of the family's 1533-position model. The record is from RNAcentral.
AUACGGAGGAUGCAAGCGUUAUCCGGGUUUAUUGGGUUUAAAGGGUGCGUAGGCGGAUGAUUAAGCGUGAGGUGAAAUGCCACUGCUCAACAGUGGAACUGCCUCGCGAACUGGUUGUCUUGAAUGCUCCUGCCGUGGGAGGAAUGUGUGGUGUAGCGGUGAAAUGCAUAGAGAUCACACAGAACACCGAUUGCGAAGGCAUCUCACGAAGGGGUGAUUGACGCUGAGGCACGAAAGCGUGGGGAUCAAACAGGAUUAGAUACCCUGGUAGUCCACGCAGUAAACGAUGAUAACUAACCGCUGGGUCGUAGUGAUUCAGUGGCCAAGCGAAAGCGAUAAGUUAUCCACCUGGGGAGUACGACCGCAAGGUUGAAACUCAAAUGAAUUGGCGGGG